UCAUUGAGCAGAAGCUUCAAUUUGCUGA
RNAcentral lists this non-coding RNA (28 nucleotides) under Mus musculus (house mouse). Lineage: Eukaryota; Metazoa; Chordata; Mammalia; Rodentia; Muridae. The record is from RNAcentral.